Molecule: long non-coding RNA, 1023 nt
Filed under: Olea europaea subsp. europaea
Lineage: Eukaryota; Viridiplantae; Streptophyta; Magnoliopsida; Lamiales; Oleaceae
Source: RNAcentral
AUCGUUUAUUAAUGAUAAUGGUUGCUGGUAUGUUCAGAAUUACCAGUGGACGUCAGUAAGAGGUUACAAGGGGAAAGUUAAUACGAACUUACAAAAAGAAAAGUUAAGGCAUUAGAUAUCUUAAUUACAAUUCACCCCAGACUGAACGAAUUCUUUCCCUAAGUCUCCCCCAAUCCUGGCUCUGCUGAGAAGAACUGACAUUCAAUUCAGUCACAAAAUCAUCAUAAACCUCCAGCUUCUUGUACUACUCGACCAAAGACUUGGUUCGCUCAAUUCCUUGGGAGACAUUACGUUUUUUAGCCACCAUUCUCGCCUUGCAGUCGUCCAUCCUUGCUUGAAGCUCCUUCAUCUGUGCAACCAAACUAGUCAUCAAAGAGUCUUCAAUCAUAACUUCGGAAGAGAUUUCUUUCAAUUCGUCCUCAGCUUUGUUGAUCUCCAGAAGCAAAGACUCUCUUUCAGAUACAGCGCGAAGAUAUUGAGUACUUUUGGCCUUCAGUUCAACAUUUUUGGCCAGCAAUGAGAGAAUCUCGGAAUGGACAACUUUCAACGUCGCUUUAAAAUCAGCAGAAAGAUUGAGCGACGGAAGUGUCAGUGCUUGUGCCAACUUCACAUUCAAAUGCUCAAGCUUAUCCUUAUGUUGGCAGCACUAGCCUGACCGAUGUCCAUAUCCAUAAAGGACACAUACUCAAAUAUCGACUGCUUGAGGAACUUCACAUCUUCCUCUGAAGAAGCAGAAUGACGACUGGUUAAAGCAGGGCAAGACGUCUUGACUUGCCCCCGGGAAGUGAACAAGUCUUGGAUAGAACGCACAAUCUUAUCAGCAUCCUACAAAGAAAAUUGUCAACAUUGAAAGUUUUCACUACAAUAAACAAAGUGGAAGUAAAAGUGAAGCAAAGGUUAUCUCAUCAGCAAUCUUGGGGGGUAGCAUAUCCCCAGCCAAGUCUACCACCUGUGGCUUCACCACUUGUGAGGACUUUCCCUUGCCUGGACGAGAAGACUUUGCCACAACGAGCAAACCCAUAG